GGACGUCAAGUCGAAGUGACCGUCAGGGAGAUGGCGCUUCGGGGACCCACCAGGAAGGUGCUGCAAGGAAGGCUUCACUGAUGAAGCAAAGUGGAUGACGCAGGAUGCGUUCAGGGACACCUCCAGGAAGGAGAAUGAGAGCCGACCAGGAUAUUCGGUGGAUCAGGAAGAUCGGGACUCGCUUACGGAAUUGAGUUUUGUCACAUCGGGGUGGUGUGAGCAGGAUGCAGCAGUUUACGGAUGAACAGGUCUGGAGACCACGGGAAAAGUUGUCACGGACGAGCAGGGAGCAACAAAAGUAGCUGGAUUGCUGCGAAACGGAUCGGGCGCACUGUUUUUACAGUGCGCCCUUUUUUUUGU
RNAcentral lists this non-coding RNA (360 nucleotides) under Enterobacter sp. BIGb0383. RNAcentral also lists the same sequence under 1 other name. The record is from RNAcentral. Lineage: Bacteria; Pseudomonadati; Pseudomonadota; Gammaproteobacteria; Enterobacterales; Enterobacteriaceae.